AGCAGAUUAUCCUCCAUUGUGGGGUAGUUCUCACACCCUCAGUUGAAGCCCUUAAGAGGAAUGACUGAGGUCUCCCAAAUAGAAUGGGAUUCUGUCUCCAGACUCAAGACUGCAAUACCAACAUCAACUCUUGAUUACAUUUCCAGCCUGCUGUGAGAUCAAACUCAGGACCUUGCACUUCAGGAUCCCAGUUGGUGGUACAAGAAGGAGACUGACUAGAAACAGCAAGUGCAACUCUCCCCUGCAGAAGUCAUCUCCAGUCCUGGCCUCCAAGAUGCCCAGAUAAAGUCCUGAGACCAGAGCAGCUUGAAGAAGAAAAGCAUUGCCCAACCCAGGAGAAAACAUGGUACCAUGAAGUGAACUGGAAGGAACAAGCAGCAAACAACAUGAGCAGUUCCUCAAGGAUAUCAAAUAUUGACAUUAUUACUUGCCAAAAACAAAUGCUAUGUGCUUAAUGAAAUAAAAUAAUUUGGAGGCCUUAGCAAAGACCAAGAGACUAUAAAGAACAUCUAAGGAGAUCUGAAAUAAAACCAACAAGUACUUCAGGGCAUGAAAAUAAGACAGAGAGGAAUUCGAGCCCUUGAAAGUUAAUCAGAGAGUGAUGGAAAGGCCUGAUACCAGUAUGUCACUCCCCACUUCAGUGUGCAGACCUCAAACUUACCCAGUGUCCCUUCUCUGAAGCCCUUCAGCCGAAAAAUAGAAAUGCCUCUGAUUUAACAGAAAUCUGGAAGAGUUCACAGUCUGGCCCAGAGAAGUUCGUUUUAAAUUGACAGCUUUAAAAUACGGUUGAGAAGGAGCCGAGGUCGGCUGCUGCCUCAGAUCUGUCCGUGGCAGUCAGUGCCUAGGUCUCGGCCUCUGGCUCUGUCCAGCCUGUUCCUGCAGGUCUGCCUCACCCCGUUAUGCGCC
This is a long non-coding RNA of Heterocephalus glaber (naked mole-rat), 906 nucleotides long. NCBI's taxonomy places the organism in Eukaryota, Metazoa, Chordata, Mammalia, Rodentia, Bathyergidae. The record is from Ensembl.